UACGUAGGGGGCAAGCGUUGUCCGGAAUUAUUGGGCGUAAAGCGCGCGCAGGCGGUUUCUUAAGUCUGGGGUUUAAGUUCGGGGCUCAACCCCGUAUCGCCCUGGAAACUGGGAGGCUUUGAGUGCAGGAGAGGAAAGUGGAAUUCCACGUGUAGCGGUGAAAUGCGUAGAGAUGUGGAGGAACACCAGUGGCGAAGGCGACUUUCUGGCCUGUAACUGACGCUGAGGCGCGAAAGCGUGGGGAGCAAACAGG
RNAcentral lists this ribosomal RNA (253 nucleotides) under uncultured bacterium. Its description in RNAcentral is "partial 16S ribosomal RNA". It matches the Rfam family "Bacterial small subunit ribosomal RNA", at positions 524 to 776 of the family's 1533-position model. The record is from RNAcentral.